AUACGGAAGGUCCGGGCGUUAUCCGGAUUUAUUGGGUUUAAAGGGAGCGCAGGCGGAGAUGCAAGCGUGACGUCAAAUUUCGGGGCUCAACCCCGUCUCGCGUCGCGAACUGCGUCCCUUGGUUGCGGGAAGGGGAGGCGGAACGCGUGGUGGAGCGGUGAAAUGCAUAGAUAUCACGAAGAACUCCGAUCGCGAAGGCAGCCUUCCGGCCCGUCAACGACGCUCAUGCUCGAAGGUGCGGGUAUCAAACAGGAUUAGAUCCCCUGGUAGUCCGCACAGUAAACGAUGGACACCCGCGGUUUGGCCUGGAUGGCUGAGCCGCCAAGCGAAAGCGUUAAGUGUCCCACCUGGGGAGUACGCCGGCAACGGUGAAACUCAAAUGAAUUGGCGGGG
RNAcentral lists this ribosomal RNA (393 nucleotides) under uncultured bacterium. RNAcentral's name for it is "partial 16S ribosomal RNA". It matches the Rfam family "Bacterial small subunit ribosomal RNA", at positions 523 to 918 of the family's 1533-position model. The record is from RNAcentral.